Molecule: ribosomal RNA, 806 nt
Filed under: marine metagenome
Description: bacterial SSU rRNA
Rfam family: Bacterial small subunit ribosomal RNA
Source: RNAcentral
AGAAUACCAAUUGCGAAGGCAGCUUUCUGGAUCAUUACUGACACUGAGGAACGAAAGCAUGGGUAGCGAAGAGGAUUAGAUACCCUCGUAGUCCAUGCCGUAAACGAUGUGUGUUAGACGUUGGAAAUUUAUUUUCAGUGUCGCAGCGAAAGCAAUAAACACACCGCCUGGGGAGUACGACCGCAAGGUUAAAACUCAAAUGAAUUGACGGGGACCCGCACAAGUAGUGGAGCAUGUGGUUUAAUUCGAAGAUACGCGCAGAACCUUACCAACACUUGACAUGUUCGUCGCGACUUUAAGAGAUUAAAGUUUUCGGUUCGGCCGGACGAAACACAGGUGCUGCAUGGCUGUCGUCAGCUCGUGUCGUGAGAUGUUGGGUUAAGUCCCGCAACGAGCGCAACCCUCACUUUUAGUUGCCAUCAUUAAGUUGGGCACUCUGAAAGAACUGCCAGUGAUAAGCUGGAGGAAGGUGGGGAUGACGUCAAGUCCUCAUGGCCCUUACGUGUUGGGCUACACACGUGCUACAAUGAUAUUUACAACAGGAAGCAAAACGGCGACGUUAAGCAAAUCCUCAAAAAAUAUCUCAGUUCGGAUUGCACUCUGCAACUCGAGUGCAUGAAGCUGGAAUUACUAGUAAUCGUGGAUCAGCGUGCCACGGUGAAUGCGUUCCCGGGUCUUGUACACACCGCCCGUCACACCAUGGGAGUUGGUUCUACCUUAAGGCAAGGUUUCAAACCCUUGACCACGGUAUAGUCAGCGACUGGGGUGAAGUCGUAACAAGGUAGCCGUAGGGGAACCUGCGGCUG